This 2559-nucleotide ribosomal RNA is filed under the name Cirrothauma murrayi. Its description in RNAcentral is "SSU rRNA". Lineage: Eukaryota; Metazoa; Mollusca; Cephalopoda; Octopoda; Cirroteuthidae. The record is from RNAcentral.
ACCUGGUUGAUCCUGCCAGUAGUCAUAUGCUUGUCUCAAAGAUUAAGCCAUGCAUGUCUAAGUUCACGUCACGAUAAAGAAUGGUCGAAACCGCGAAUGGCUCAGGAACCGGAUCUAAUCCUCGGGAUCGUAUUUAUAUAUAUGUUUUCUACCAGGAAAGUAAAAAGUAAAGUGGAUAACUGUGGCAAUUCUAGAGCUAAUACAUGCAACUAAAGCCAUGAUCGUCGGACGGUAGGUAAUGUUGUUCGGUUAAUGCAUCGAUUCUUCGUGGUCGUUGCGCGUUCGUUUCGUUCGUCGGCUUCCUCGUUGUUCGUGUAGCUACUCGCAAUUUAUUACUCCGUCCGUAUGUGAUCGCGGCGCAACAUAUUAGACUGAGACCGAUGCGUUUUGCAGUUCGUCGUUGUCGUCGUYGUCGUCGUCGUCGUCGUCGUUUCUGCGCGCUCGCUUCUUUUUUGGUGACUCUGGAUAACACAAUUGUCGAUCGCUAUGGAUGAUGUUUGUUCGUCAAACAUUAACCGGCGACGGAUCCCUCGUGGGUCCGCCCUAUCAACUGUCGACGGUCGGUUAAGUGCCUACCGUGGUUGCCACGGGUAACGGGGAAUCAGGGUUCGAUUCCGGAGAGGGAGCAUGCGAAACGGCUACCACAUCCAAGGAAGGCAGCAGGCGCGCAAAUUACCCACUCCCGGCACGGGGAGGUAGUGACGAAAAAUAACGACGCGGGACUCUGUCGAGGCCCCGCGAUCGGAAUGAAUACACCUCAAAUCCGUUAAUGAGGAUCGACCGGAGGGCAAGUCUGGUGCCAGCAGCCGCGGUAAUUCCAGCUCCGGUAGCGUAUAUUAAAUUUGUUGCGGUUAAAAAGCUCGUAGUCCGAAUUCGGGUCUAAAGAAAAAAAAACGUUUUUGCGAAACAAAAACGUUCGGGGCGUCGGCGCCAUUGUUCGUCAUUCGAAAUUUUGGUUGAAUUUUUUAAAAAAAUUUCCGUUCGCACACCCGGCCCUAUCCGCCGGUACGUAUGAGGGAAGGUAAAUUCGUGUGGUCGUGGUUGACAAACGAUUUCGUAGUAGUAGUUGGCGUCGUGUCGUCGUYUUUUGUUUUGUCACGUCUUUUCGGUGGUGGUUUUGUUACAAUGAUAAUUGGUGUGUAAACAAAAAAAGUUAGAUACCUUCGGUUUCGUUUCUUUGAUACACGUUAUUUUUUCCUUUAUACACAUGUCGCCGUCGUCGUCGACUACAACACUUCUUCGUCGUCACAUCUACGUCUUCUUCUUUUCUGCAAUCUCCAAAAGCGUCGCCGCGAUACCGUUUACUAAACGAGUUCGCGUCGUGUCCCUUGUUCGAUUCCUCCGAGGGUGCUCUUCACCGAGUGUCCGAGGCGGCCGGUAUGUUCACUUUGAAAAAAUUAGUGUGCUCAGAGCGAGCUCCGUUAAGCUUGCAUACGAUAAGCAUGGAAUGAUAGAAAAGGGCCUCGUCCACGUCUGUCGGUCUCCGUUUAAGACGAGGCAAUGAUCGAAGGGAGCGGUUCGGGGCCACUCGUAUUGCGACGUUAGAGGUGAAAUUCUUGGAUCGUCGCAAGACGUACUGCAGCGAUGGCGUGUGGCAAGGACGUUUUCCUCGAUCAAGAGCGAAAGUCGGAGGUUCGAAGACGAUCAGAUACCGUCGUAGUUCCGACUGUAAACGAUGCCGACUGGCGAUACGCCGGCGUUCGCUUCGAUGACCCGGCGGGUAGCCUGCGGGAAACCAGAGUUGGUUCCGGGGGGAGUAUGGUUGCAAAAUCGAAACUUAAAGGAAUUGACGGAAGGGCACCACCAGGAGUGGAGCCUGCGGCUUAAUUUGACUCAACACGGGAAAACUCACCCGGUCCGGACACCGGUAGGAUUGACAGAUCGAUAGCUCUUUCUCGAUUCGAUGGAUGGUGGUGCAUGGCCGUUCUUAGUUGGUGGAGCGAUCCGUCUGGUUGAUUCCGAUAACGAACGAGUCUCCAGCCUGCUAACUAGCGCGUCGAUUAGUGCUAGUUUAUGUAUACAUAUAUACAUCAAUCAUGUAUUGUGUGUGUGUAUUGGUCAGUCGAUUGCAAAGCGCUUCUUAGAGGGACGGGUGGCGGAAAGCCACACGAGGCGGAGCGAUAACAGGUCUGUGAUGCCCUUAGAUGUCCGGGGCUGCACGCGCGCUACACUGGAGGUAUCAGCGGGGACUCAUCCCCUGGCCCGAGAGGGUUGGGAAACCUCUGAACCACCUUCCGUGAUAGGGAUCGGGGCUUGUAAGCAACCCCGUGAACGAGGAAUUCCCGGUAGGCGCGGGUCAUCAACCCGCGUCGAUCACGUCCCUGCCCUUUGUACACACCGCCCGUCGCUACUACCGAUCGAACGGUCCGGUGAGGUCCUCGGAUCUGGCCGAUGACGGUAACAUUGUUAACGUCUUUGAUGGAGGAAAAAACACUUUUAUUUUAUCGAGUUGUUGACGUUGUCGUUUGAUGGCCCGGAGAAGACGACCGAACCCGAUCGUUUAGAGGAAGUAAAAGUCGUAACAAGGUUUCCGUAGGUGAACCUGCGGAAGGAUCAUUA